This 484-nucleotide ribosomal RNA is filed under the name uncultured bacterium. Its description in RNAcentral is "partial 16S ribosomal RNA". It matches the Rfam family "Bacterial small subunit ribosomal RNA", at positions 30 to 507 of the family's 1533-position model. The record is from RNAcentral.
AUUGAACGCUGGCGGCAGGCCUAACACAUGCAAGUCGAGCGGAUGAAGGGAGCUUGCUCCUGGAUUCAGCGGCGGACGGGUGAGUAAUGCCUAGGAAUCUGCCUGGUAGUGGGGUAUAACGUCCGGAAACGGGCGCUAAUACCGCAUACUUCCUGAGGGAGAAAGUGGGGGAUCUUCGGACCUCACGCUAUCAGAUGAGCCUAGGUCGGAUUAGCUAGUUGGUGGGGUAAAGGACUACCACGGCGACGAUCCGUAACUGGUCUGAGAGGAUGAUCAGUCACACUGGAACUGAGACACGGUCCAGACUCCUACGGGAGGCAGCAGUGGGGAAUAUUGGACAAUGGGCGGAAGCCUGAUCCAGCCAUGCCGCGUGUGUGAAGAAGGUCUUCGGAUUGUAAAGCACUUUAAGUUGGGAGGAAGGGCAGUAAGUUAAUACCUUGCUGUUUUGACGGUACCAACAGAAUAAGCACCGGCUAACUUCGUG